RNAcentral lists this ribosomal RNA (465 nucleotides) under uncultured bacterium. Its description in RNAcentral is "partial 16S ribosomal RNA". It matches the Rfam family "Bacterial small subunit ribosomal RNA", at positions 338 to 795 of the family's 1533-position model. The record is from RNAcentral.
CCUACGUGAGGCAGCAGUAGGGAAUCUUCCACAAUGGGCGAAAGCCUGAUGGAGCAACGCCGCGUGGGUGAAGAAGGUCUUCGGAUCGUAAAACCCUGUUGUUAGAGAAGAAAGUGCGUGAGAGUAACUGUUCACGUUUCGACGGUAUCUAACCAGAAAGCCACGGCUAACUACGUGCCAGCAGCCGCGGUAAUACGUAGGUGGCAAGCGUUAUCCGGAUUUAUUGGGCGUAAAGGGAACGCAGGCGGUCUUUUAAGUCUGAUGUGAAAGCCUUCGGCUUAACCGGAGUAGUGCAUUGGAUACUGGGGGACUUGAGUGCAGAAGAGGAGAGUGGAACUCCAUGUGUAGCGGUGAAAUGCGUAGAUAUAUGGAAGAACACCAGUGGCGAAAGCGGCUCUCUGGUCUGUAACUGACGCUGAGGUUCGAAAGCGUGGGUAGCAAACAGGAUUAGAUACCCGAGUAGUC